This 264-nucleotide ribosomal RNA is filed under the name uncultured bacterium. RNAcentral's name for it is "partial 16S ribosomal RNA". It matches the Rfam family "Bacterial small subunit ribosomal RNA", at positions 793 to 1055 of the family's 1533-position model. The record is from RNAcentral.
GUCCACGCUGUAAACGAUGAAUACUAGGUGUUGGGGGCGAAGCCCUCAGUGCCGCAGUUAACACAUUAAGUAUUCCGCCUGGGGAGUACGAUCGCAAGAUUAAAACUCAAAGGAAUUGACGGGGGCCCCGCACAAGCAGCGGAGCAUGUGGUUUAAUUCGAAGCAACGCGAAGAACCUUACCAAGGCUUGACAUCCUAAGAAUCCUAAAGAGAUUUGGGAGUGCCCUUCGGGGAACUUAGAGACAGGUGGUGCAUGGUUGUCGU